This 486-nucleotide ribosomal RNA is filed under the name uncultured bacterium. Its description in RNAcentral is "bacterial SSU rRNA". It matches the Rfam family "Bacterial small subunit ribosomal RNA", at positions 26 to 518 of the family's 1533-position model. The record is from RNAcentral.
UAGGCGUACAGGACGAACGCCUGGCGGCGUGCCUAACACAUGCAAGUCGAGCGAGGAGAGUCCUUCGGGAUGAUCCUAGCGGCGGACGGGUGAGUAACACGUGGGCAACCUGCCUCAUAGAGAGGAAUAGCCUUCCGAAAGGGAGAUUAAUACCUCAUAACAUUGCAGUUUCGCAUGGAACAGCAAUUAAAGGAGCAAUCCGCUAUGAGAUGGGCCCGCGGCGCAUUAGCUAGUUGGUGAGGUAACGGCUCACCAAGGCGACGAUGCGUAGCCGACCUGAGAGGGUGAUCGGCCACAAUGGGACUGAGACACGGCCCAGACUCCUACGGGAGGCAGCAGUGGGGAAUAUUGCACAAUGGGGGAAACCCUGAUGCCAGCAACGCCGCGUGAGUGAUGACGGCCUUCGGGUUGUAAAGCUCUGUCUUCAGGGACGAUAAUGACGGUACCUGAGGAGGAAGCCACGGCUAACUACGUGCCAGCCGCCGC